UGGGCGGUUAUGUACGCUCCCUCAUCUUUCGGCCCAUCUUUCCCACUAAACAUGGUUGCUACAAAAUUGGGACGUGGGUAGAAUGCAGUUGACGACCUCUCUUAUAUAAUACAAACCCUUGCAUUCAAAUAUUCGCCUCCAUACAUCCUUCUGUUUGCAGUACAAUUCGCCUGUAACCUCCGUAUAGAACCAACACUCAUUACCCAUGAUCUGAUUGAUAAACAAGAAAUAUGGCAAUGUCGAGGGUGAGCUCUUGCCUUGCAUACCCAGAUCCUUUCUUCACCGUUGUUGCCUAUGCGGGAUUUGGUGCUCCCCCAAUUCGUCAUCCAAAGGGUCACCUCUAAAUUCUCAAACAAAGUCGCUCAGUUGUUUUACGUCCUUUGUUAGCAGCUCCAUCAUCAGAAAGGAAGUUCAAGAAGAUGAAGACCUUCAAUUAUCAAUGGCAGUUGCUCUACUCUUCUUCUCCUUCCUUCUUAGGCUAAGGAUGUAUAAUACGCUCAUGGAGAGAUGUUUUACAGAUUGUGUGGACCAUUCAGGUGCAAAGCAUUAGAUAAAAAAAUUGGAAACAUGUGUGAAGAGAUGUGCAGAAAAGUUUUUGAAGGAUUCGAUGCAGGUCUGGAUGAGAUUUAUUGAACUCAACCAAGAUUACAUGGGAAGAGUGGAGUUGAUCCAACUGCAUACAUUAAAAAAAAUCCAUUAAUAUCCAUCAAAUAAUGCAUCCAAAACUUCAAUGGUACUACAACUCCACCUCAUGCUUCAGUAUCAAAAUUGUGAGGUAUUCUUUAAAAUUUUGAUGGUUUGGUUGUGAGGUAUUCUAUAAGAUUGGAUAAAUAUCUUUUUUAAAAAUAUAAGACGGGAUAAAUAUCGUUUAAAAAACAUUUUUUUUCUUCCAUGUGGCUGAUGUAGUACUGAAGUCCAAACAAUUGAUCUCUCCAUGGUAGACCUGGCAAAAGCGACCCAAUUGGCAAGUUUUGGGUCAUAAUGGGUCUUUAUCAUAACAUUCUGGGUCAGCUGGGUAAUUAAGUUUUUUUGCAUUGGGUCUCUAUGGGCUGAAGCAAGGAGAGUAAAAGACGUGGGAGGGUCAAUAUGGGCAGGGUUAAAGCAUUGAAUUGGUCAAGAUGGAUGGAGCUAAACGAUUGAACGGGUUACAUUGGGCGGCUAAAAACGUUACUCUACUUUUUUUGGAAUCCACUUUACUAGAGUAAUUCUCAUAGCUUCUUCAUCUAGGUUACCAUUGCAAAUUAAAACUUCGCUAUCAUUUGAUGGUUGCUGUAUAAUCGGUUACAAACAUUGCGAUGUGUAACCGGAUACCGAGAGUUAGACGAUUCAGAGGGGUCCUGAUUCAGUGUGUUCACGAGUUGAUUACGGGAUCAAUGAGGUAAAAAGAAACCCACUCGUAAUUACAUGUUUUUGGAGCUUGCAGUAGGUUGUGUUUUUUUUAUAUACUUUCGUCCUUCUGCCCAUAAUAUUUCUUCUUUUUGUGUUCUCGCUUAAGUACUAAUCAUGUAUAUUCGCCAUGAAUUAUGUUUAGAUGUUGAAAUCUCUACUGGUUGUGGAGAUCAAUCCAUCCAUAGAGUUUUUGUUGAUUCUGGUAGGAGUCAUUAUAUAGCCAAUGUGGCUGGCAAUAGCGCUUCGAAACCUAUAACAUGCAUGCGAAGUGCUCAAAGCACAUGGUGUUGACCAAACUAAAAGGCCUUGUGGUCAAUACCUUUGCUUGGAAUAGACAAGAAAUAACAAUAAGGUUACUUGGUAUUUUACUCUUUUGCUAUUAACUUUUCACUUUCAUGUAGGUACUUUAUAAAAUUUUGAUAGCAAGCUUCAACACGAGAGGUAAUUCUUGGUACGCAUAAUGGUCAACUACAUAAAAUUGUGGUUGAUGAGGAAGAUAAAAAGUGUUCCUACUUUUUCUCCCCCUUAUUAGUGUUUCUUUAAUUUUGUGGUUCAAGGGCUGAAUUGUUCGUAUGGCUCAUGUUUUUUAAUAAAAGAUUUAUAUAUUCUUUGUUUUGGUAAUAUACUUUUGAUUUAUAAGGAGAAAUGAUGUAAUAUUUUAAAUGAAGAAACUAAAUUGUACCAAUCUGAAUAGUUUAUUCUUUACGUAAUUAGUUUCACUACU
RNAcentral lists this long non-coding RNA (2113 nucleotides) under Helianthus annuus (common sunflower). RNAcentral describes it as "hypothetical non coding rna". The record is from RNAcentral. Lineage: Eukaryota; Viridiplantae; Streptophyta; Magnoliopsida; Asterales; Asteraceae.